Molecule: transfer-messenger RNA, 376 nt
Filed under: Longimicrobiaceae
Lineage: Bacteria; Pseudomonadati; Gemmatimonadota; Longimicrobiia; Longimicrobiales
Also listed under: 1 other name
Description: Longimicrobium sp019348475 Standard tmRNA
Rfam family: transfer-messenger RNA
About the family: Bacterial tmRNA, also known as 10Sa RNA or SsrA, is named for its dual tRNA and mRNA-like properties.
Source: RNAcentral
GGGGCUGUCAAGGUUUCGACGUGUACGGUGAAGCCGUGGCUGCGUGCCGAGGUCCUCGGAUACCUCGUAAAACCUCCGGGAAACCAGUAACCGCGAACGAUAACUUCGCUCUGGCUGCGUAAGUAGAGACCCUAGCGGUUUCCUUACCUCCCGUCUUCCGGUCAGCCCCGCCUGAGGCGGGCCGGCGGGCGUCAUCAAAUUCUGGCUGGCCUGCGUUUGGCGCCGUGACGGCGCGGGCGAGACUUUCACGGCUGGUUCGCGAUGGGCCUCCCACUGGCCGAUGAGCGGACGAGGAGAACAGAACAGGGGGAUACGCACGUAGACGUCGCGAGGGAUCUGUAGGCGGACGCGGGUUCGAUUCCCGCCAGCUCCACUU